GUAGGGGUGCAAGCGUUAAUCGGAAUUACUGGGCGUAAAGCGUGCGCAGGCGGUUUUGUAAGUCUGACGUGAAAUCCCCGGGGCUCAACCUGGGAAUUGCGUUGGAGACUGCAAGGCUGGAGUCUGGCAGAGGGGGGUAGAAUUCCACGUGUAGCAGUGAAAUGCGUAGAGAUGUGGAGGAACACCGAUGGCGAAGGCAGCCCCCUGGGUCAAGACUGACGCUCAUGCACGAAAGCGUGGGGAGCAAACAGGAUUAGAUACCCUGGUAGUCCACGCCCUAAACGAUGUCUACUAGUUGUCGGGUCUUAAUUGACUUGGUAACGCAGCUAACGCGUGAAGUAGACCGCCUGGGGAGUACGGUCGCAAGAUUA
This 371-nucleotide ribosomal RNA is filed under the name uncultured organism. RNAcentral's name for it is "partial 16S ribosomal RNA". It matches the Rfam family "Bacterial small subunit ribosomal RNA", at positions 526 to 896 of the family's 1533-position model. The record is from RNAcentral.